This 429-nucleotide ribosomal RNA is filed under the name Bacteroidota bacterium. RNAcentral describes it as "Bacteroidetes bacterium partial 16S ribosomal RNA". It matches the Rfam family "Bacterial small subunit ribosomal RNA", at positions 355 to 776 of the family's 1533-position model. The record is from RNAcentral. Lineage: Bacteria; Pseudomonadati; Bacteroidota.
UAGGGAAUCUUCCGCAAUGGACGCAAGUCUGACGGAGCAACGCCGCGUGAGUGAAGAAGGAUUUCGGUUCGUAAAACUCUGUUGUUAGAGAAGAACAGCGCAUAGAGUAACUGUUAUGCGUGUGACGGUAUCUAACCAGAAAGCCACGGCUAACUACGUGCCAGCAGCCGCGGUAAUACGUAGGUGGCAAGCGUUGUCCGGAUUUAUUGGGCGUAAAGCGAGCGCAGGCGGUCAAUUAAGUCUGAUGUGAAAGCCCCCGGCUCAACCGGGGAGGGUCAUUGGAAACUGGUUGACUUGAGUGCAGAAGAGGAGAGUGGAAUUCCAUGUGUAGCGGUGAAAUGCGCAGAUAUUAGGAGGAAUACCGGUGGCGAAGGCGACUUUCUGGCCAUAAUCUGACGCUGAGGUACGAAAGCGUGGGUAGCAAACAGG